RNAcentral lists this unclassified non-coding RNA (161 nucleotides) under soil metagenome. RNAcentral describes it as "partial internal transcribed spacer 1". The record is from RNAcentral.
AAGAGACGUUGCCCUUCGGGGUAUACCUCCUACCCUUUGUUUAUUAUACCUUUGUUGCUUUGGCGGGCCCGUCCUCGGACCACCGGCUUCUGCUGGUCAGUGCCCGCCAGAGGACCUAAAACUCUGUUUGUUAAUAUUGUCUGAGUACUAUAUAAUAGUUA